GAGGAAUAUUGGGCAAUGCCCGCAAGGGUGACCCAGCAACGCCGCGUGGAGGAUGAAUGUCGUAAGAUUGUAAACUCCUGUUAGAGGGGAAGAAUAGUACCGGUUGGACCGGUAUAUGACUGUACCCUCAGAGAAAGCCCCGGCUAACUACGUGCUAGCAGCCGCGGUAAUACGUAGGGGGCAAGCGUUGUCCGGAUUUACUGGGUGUAAAGGGCGCGCAGGCGGGAUAAAAAGUCAGUGGUGAAAUCCUACAGCUUAACUGUAGAACUGCCUUUGAUACUUUUAUUCUUGAGUUCGGGAGAGAGAGACGGAAUUCCAGGUGUAGUGGUGAAAUACGUAGAUAUCUGGAAGAACACCAGUUGCGAAGGCGGUCUCUUGGUCCGACACUGACGCUGAGGCGCGAAAGCGUGGGGAGCAAACA
This 421-nucleotide ribosomal RNA is filed under the name uncultured bacterium. RNAcentral describes it as "bacterial SSU rRNA". It matches the Rfam family "Bacterial small subunit ribosomal RNA", at positions 356 to 774 of the family's 1533-position model. The record is from RNAcentral.